GUAAGACAGACGAUCGCGUAUAUCUUCGGGAUAUAUGAGGAAAGUCCGGGCUCCGCAGGGCAAGGAUGCCGGAUAACGUCCGGCGUAGGUAACUAUAGGGAAAGUGCAACAGAAAGUAUACCGCCGAACGGCAUUGCCGUGGUAAGGUUGAAAUUGUGAGGUAAGAGCUCACAGGGAUGCAUGGUAACAUGUGUCCCCGGUAAACCCCAUCCGGAGCAAGACCAAAAAGGGCUUAUGGCUUCGGCCAGAUGGCGGCCCGUCAUCGCCCGGGAGGUAGGUCGCUUGAGCCUGUCGGUAACGGCAGGACCAGAUAGAUGAUCGUCAGAUACAGAACCCGGCUUAUGUCUUGCC
Molecule: RNase P RNA, 351 nt
Filed under: bovine gut metagenome
Description: Bacterial RNase P class A
Rfam family: Bacterial RNase P class A
About the family: Ribonuclease P (RNase P) is a ubiquitous endoribonuclease, found in archaea, bacteria and eukarya as well as chloroplasts and mitochondria. Its best characterised activity is the generation of mature 5'-ends of tRNAs by cleaving the 5'-leader elements of precursor-tRNAs. Cellular RNase Ps are ribonucleoproteins.
Source: RNAcentral